UGUUCAUUAAGGUGGCAGUUACCAGUUUUGGUGUACCAGAACAUGUGUCCCACGCAGAAAUUUGGUUAUAGUUAAGCAUUGAGGUAUAUAAUUGCAUCAUGUGGACUGAAAAAAUAAAUGAAUGUAAAUUCUAGGCUAUUGUACUACACAAGUAAGUAGUUGCAUACACAGGUUGGGGAUUUCCUUCACAAAUGGGUCCAAUCAGAAGUCAAAAUUGUGGUCUCCUCACUUGACGGCAUCCAAUCAAAGUGGGGAAAAACUUCAGUUUUAUGUAAACAAAAAUAUCUUGAGAUUUUGAUGGUAAGGAUAGGUUCGGACAAGGCUCUAAUUCACUGAAUAUCAUUUAUCUCUUGAAUUUUGCCUAAAAUUCUUGUCGGCUUUUAGCAGGAUUCUGCAGGUCUACUACAUAGUUGAUACUGUAGGACAGGCUACAGAAAUAAGAAAACUGGUCUCUCUCAUCAGCAAUAGUGUGGCAAUUCUAAAAUUUCAACAUGCGGCCUACACAGCUAGCUCAUGUGGAGAAGAGAUAUGAGACUGAUUGCGAAUAAAUGUACACUUAGUUUAGUGCAGCAUGGAUCUACAAAGUGAAAUAUAUGUACCAAAAAUAUUAGUUUAUUCAAAACUAAGCCUUUUUCAGCACUGCAGUCAACAGAACAGUGAUAGUGACAAGAAUUGAGACUAUUUAAUACCUCAAACAAUGAAAAAAUACUUCCUGAGAUCAGUUGUAAGUGGUUUUAUAUCAUGCAUGAAACAAUAAACUAAAGUAUUUUUGAGAACUGUUGGAUAAUUCAUACACUGUACCAGAAAACUCACACAAUAAAAUUUAUUAAAUAUGAACACAAUC
Long non-coding RNA from Mytilus californianus (California mussel), 844 nucleotides. RefSeq lists it as uncharacterized. The transcript has 2 exons. The record is from RefSeq and is a predicted model, not a curated record. Lineage: Eukaryota; Metazoa; Mollusca; Bivalvia; Mytilida; Mytilidae.